GAUGAACGCUGGCGGCGUGCCUAAUACAUGCAAGUCGAGCGAACAGACGAGGAGCUUGCUCCUCUGACGUUAGCGGCGGACGGGUGAGUAACACGUGGAUAACCUACCUAUAAGACUGGGAUAACUUCGGGAAACCGGAGCUAAUACCGGAUAAUAUAUUGAACCGCAUGGUUCAAUAGUGAAAGACGGUUUUGCUGUCACUUAUAGAUGGAUCCGCGCCGCAUUAGCUAGUUGGUAAGGUAACGGCUUACCAAGGCGACGAUGCGUAGCCGACCUGAGAGGGUGAUCGGCCACACUGGAACUGAGACACGGUCCAGACUCCUACGGGAGGCAGCAGUAGGGAAUCUUCCGCAAUGGGCGAAAGCCUGACGGAGCAACGCCGCGUGAGUGAUGAAGGUCCUCGGAUCGUAAAACUCUGUUAUUAGGGAAGAACAAAUGUGUAAGUAACUAUGCACGUCGUGACGGUACCUAAUCAGAAAGCCACGGCUAACUACG
RNAcentral lists this ribosomal RNA (495 nucleotides) under uncultured bacterium. RNAcentral's name for it is "partial 16S ribosomal RNA". It matches the Rfam family "Bacterial small subunit ribosomal RNA", at positions 28 to 505 of the family's 1533-position model. The record is from RNAcentral.